RNAcentral lists this ribosomal RNA (816 nucleotides) under Microbacterium fluvii. RNAcentral describes it as "bacterial SSU rRNA". It matches the Rfam family "Bacterial small subunit ribosomal RNA", at positions 647 to 1459 of the family's 1533-position model. Lineage: Bacteria; Bacillati; Actinomycetota; Actinomycetes; Micrococcales; Microbacteriaceae. The record is from RNAcentral.
UGCGGUAGGGGAGAUUGGAAUUCGUGGUGUAGCGGUGGAAUGCGCAGAUAUCAGGAGGAACACCGAUGGCGAAGGCAGCUCCCCUGGGCCGUAACUGACGCUGAGGAGCGAAAGGGUGGGGAGCAAACAGGCUUAGAUACCCUGGUAGUCCACCCCGUAAACGUUGGGAACUAGUUGUGGGGUCCAUUCCACGGAUUCCGUGACGCAGCUAACGCAUUAAGUUCCCCGCCUGGGGAGUACGGCCGCAAGGCUAAAACUCAAAGGAAUUGACGGGGACCCGCACAAGCGGCGGAGCAUGCGGAUUAAUUCGAUGCAACGCGAAGAACCUUACCAAGGCUUGACAUAUACGAGAACGGGCCAGAAAUGGUCAACUCUUUGGACACUCGUAAACAGGUGGUGCAUGGUUGUCGUCAGCUCGUGUCGUGAGAUGUUGGGUUAAGUCCCGCAACGAGCGCAACCCUCGUUCUAUGUUGCCAGCACGUAAUGGUGGGAACUCAUGGAAUACUGCCGGGGUCAACUCGGAGGAAGGUGGGGAUGACGUCAAAUCAUCAUGCCCCUUAUGUCUUGGGCUUCACGCAUGCUACAAUGGCCGGUACAAAGGGCAGCAAUACCGUGAGGUGGAGCGAAUCCCAAAAAGCCGGUCCCAGUUCGGAUUGAGGUCUGCAACUCGACCUCAUGAAGUCGGAGUCGCUAGUAAUCGCAGAUCAGCAACGCUGCGGUGAAUACGUUCCCGGGUCUUGUACACACCGCCCGUCAAGUCAUGAAAGUCGGUAACACCUGAAGCCGGGGCCCAACCCUUGUGGAGGGAGCCGUCGA